This 285-nucleotide unclassified non-coding RNA is filed under the name Hevea brasiliensis (rubber tree). The record is from RNAcentral. Lineage: Eukaryota; Viridiplantae; Streptophyta; Magnoliopsida; Malpighiales; Euphorbiaceae.
UUUACGUGCUGCAAGCAAUCUGCAUUUAUAAUUUGAACUGUUUCAUUUGUUAGAGCACAAUGUAAUGAUAUCAGGUCACUUGCAGCGAGUAAGUCAUUAAGGGUAUCCAUUCUCCUGGCAGCAGGUGGGAAUCUAAUAGAGUGUCUGCUCAUUUUUCCAUUUUCCUCAACAUCAAAAUAAAGCACGCUCAUGUUGAAUGCUAAACUCCGUUCAGCCUCUGUGCCGUGGAAUGCGCCGCUGUCGCGGCCUUGUACUGGGAAUUGUUGGUAGAUCUGCGUCUGCAAG